Molecule: ribosomal RNA, 613 nt
Filed under: Bipolaris oryzae
Lineage: Eukaryota; Fungi; Ascomycota; Dothideomycetes; Pleosporales; Pleosporaceae
Description: partial large subunit ribosomal RNA
Rfam family: Eukaryotic large subunit ribosomal RNA
Source: RNAcentral
UGCAUAUCCCCAAAGCGGAGGAAAAGAAACCAACAGGGAUUGCCCUAGUAACGGCGAGUGAAGCGGCAACAGCUCAAAUUUGAAAUCUGGCUCUUUCAGAGUCCGAGUUGUAAUUUGCAGAGGGCGCUUUGGCUUUGGCAGCGGUCCAAGUUCCUUGGAACAGGACGUCACAGAGGGUGAGAAUCCCGUACGUGGUCGCUAGCUAUUGCCGUGUAAAGCCCCUUCGACGAGUCGAGUUGUUUGGGAAUGCAGCUCUAAAUGGGAGGUAAAUUUCUUCUAAAGCUAAAUAUUGGCCAGAGACCGAUAGCGCACAAGUAGAGUGAUCGAAAGAUGAAAAGCACUUUGGAAAGAGAGUCAAACAGCACGUGAAAUUGUUGAAAGGGAAGCGCUUGCAGCCAGACUUGCUUGCAGUUGCUCAUCCGGGCUUUUGCCCGGUGCACUCUUCUGUAGGCAGGCCAGCAUCAGUUUGGGCGGUGGGAUAAAGGUCUCUGUCACGUACCUCUCUUCGGGGAGGCCUUAUAGGGGAGACGACAUACCACCAGCCUAGACUGAGGUCCGCGCAUCUGCUAGGAUGCUGGCGUAAUGGCUGUAAGCGGCCCGUCUUAACCCCCCG